UGUGGCUCAAGUAUUAGAGCACCUGCCUAGCGAGCACAAGACCCUGGGUUCAAAUCCCAGCA
Molecule: transfer RNA, 62 nt
Filed under: Dipodomys ordii (Ord's kangaroo rat)
Lineage: Eukaryota; Metazoa; Chordata; Mammalia; Rodentia; Heteromyidae
Rfam family: tRNA
About the family: Transfer RNA (tRNA) molecules are approximately 80 nucleotides in length. Their secondary structure includes four short double-helical elements and three loops (D, anti-codon, and T loops).
Source: Rfam by way of RNAcentral